This 477-nucleotide long non-coding RNA is filed under the name Coffea arabica (coffee). RNAcentral's name for it is "long non-coding RNA (CARA_LNC001103)". Lineage: Eukaryota; Viridiplantae; Streptophyta; Magnoliopsida; Gentianales; Rubiaceae. The record is from RNAcentral.
UCCUCUCCUACCUCAAGAUCCUUAUGAGAAAUCCAUGGCACGCUUCUGGGCGAAUUUUGGAGAUGAUAAGGUAUGAAAACGUUUGCUAGCUCAAAUAGUCUAAAUCAUUUGCCCUGCAAUACAAAAUAACACUAAGCAUUUCAGCAUGUUUGUUCCAGCUUUUGGUCAUUUGAAAAUAUUAUGUGAUGCUAAACCUUAAUUUCAAAGUGUAGCUCAUGAAAUCAAUAUGGCAACUUUUCAUUGCACAUGAGAAAGAUCAAGAUGUAGCAGCAGUUGCAGCACUGGAGAAUCUAAAAAUUGUUGAAGAGCAACUAAAAGGAAAGAAAUUCUUUCAGGGAGAGACAAUUGGGUACCUUGAUCUCGCAUUUGGUUGGAUCGCUAACUUAGUUAGCAUUCUAGAAGAAAUAAUGAGUCUAAAGUUGGUAGAUGGAGAGAGAUUCCCUCACUUGUCAUCCUGGAUCCAACAUUUCAUAGAUG